This 2168-nucleotide unclassified non-coding RNA is filed under the name Hevea brasiliensis (rubber tree). The record is from RNAcentral. Lineage: Eukaryota; Viridiplantae; Streptophyta; Magnoliopsida; Malpighiales; Euphorbiaceae.
GUCAAUUUGAAUAAGGUGAUUAUUAUUGAUGCAUAGUGUGAAAUUUAUGGUUUGAAUGUCUUCUUCGAAUUAUCAUAUUUUAACUAUAGGAAUGAUAUGAUUUGGUCCUUAAGGAAUCAGCUCUAACCUUGUAAAUGCAACUAUAGAGAACAGCUUAUCAAUUCUGUCAUUACCUGAAUGCACUAUCUUUUGUUCUUUUGGUUUUCACUUCAUGAAAUUCUUCAUAGAAGAGGCUUUAGCAUGACAGGAAGUUAUGAUUACCGAAAACAAUGUAUAAUUGGAAUAUGCAUUUCCACAUGUCAAUUUCAUCAUUCUGAAAUGAUUGUCUGAAUUUGUUUGAAUACUGAAAGCAUAUAAGCAACCAAGAAUCAGUUAUGAUUGCAUUGCAGUUCAUGUGUCACCGUAUACAAUUCAAUCUUCAUCUUUAUGCUUGUACUAAUUGCAGAUUUUGUUACUAGCAAGGAAUACAUAUAAAACUAAAUAUUGGAACUAUUAAUUUCAAUCAAAUUAUAGUUCAGAAGUUUGUUUUGGUUGAAUUGUAUUAUGUUGGAAGUCUCAAAAACCUGGCCUUUAUACAAAUACAUGUGCACUGCACACAAAGAAUGCUUUAAAAUUGAAUUAUAUUCCUUUCUGCCUUUCUCAUGGACAAAGGGCUAUGAAACUCUGCUUUUGGCACUUGCAGGUAGGGGCCAUUUCUUUAAUUGAGUCUUGAUAACAUGGCAUGCCGUCUUCAUUUUGUCUUUUGUGUAUCUGUCUAGUAAAAGCUGCAUUUCUUUCAUAUUAAUGUUGUUGAUUUAAUUUUUAAGUAAUUUGUUUUCUUUGUUGCAUGUUGAGAUAAAACUUCAAAUUGAUAGACUAUAGUUCCAUAUUGUGCUCUUCUUUUCCUUCCAUGUGUAUUUUUUGUUGACUCUUAUAAAAUGACUAUUGUGGGAAGAAUGCUUUCUGUCUCACUCUCAUGAUAGCUUCAUACUUUUAUGUUAAGUGUCCUUGUGUUGGUUCUGUUUGUUCUAUGGAAACCAACUGUUGGAAGUUCGAACUGAGUAGCUAUUAUUUUAGUUAGACAUUUCUUAUUCUUUCAGAAAACUAUCCACAUAAAUACUGAUUCCGUUGCUUCUUAUUUUCAAACUAAGAAGUAGCUACGAUAUUUAUCAUUCUUAUAUCCACAAAUAAGUUGCUUCCAUGUUUUGGUUACACUCUUGUUACUUUCCAACUCUUAAAUGUACCAUGUUCUUGUUUUAUUUAUUUUCUCAUAAGUUUGAGUCUGUAUAUGUCUCAACUUUAUAGGUAUCAUUCCACAGCAUCCUUUUUUGGCUUAGUGAAGGUUCAUUUAUAGUUGUUAAACAAUCACUUGCCGUGAAAGUUUAAAUUGUUAGAAAGAGGAUAAUUGAUGCAUGAAUACAUUUUCUUCAUUGAUGGCUUUAGCUUUACGGAUGGUUGUUUGGUUUCAUGGCAGGAUCCUACACUCAAACCAUAGGCAUACACUUUCUAAGCUAUUAAUGCCAUUAUGUCUUUGAGUGAGCAUUAAGUAUAUUGCAAUGCCUCUGCCUGCUGGUUUAAGCCUUCGGACUAGUGGUUGUUUAGCAAUAUCUUUAUUUAAGUAUUUGCUUGAGAUUCUACAGGCGGUUAGAAUUUACAAGAGAGUCAUAGAACUAGUCAUUUCUUGUAUUUUCCUGCUUGUACAUGUUCCUUGUGAUCUCCCCUGAUGAUUUGCCAAAUAAUCCACUCAAGUGGCCACUAUUCAUAUGUUUUGCCGGUUUUUCAUGUUCUUUAGCCUUGUUGACUUUUGGUUUUACUGUUUCUAAUUCAAUAUAUUUUAUAGAGAGAAAUCAGAUCACACAAAUGUUUUAUUAGAUGUCAUUUAUGGUUUGUCAUCUUCAAUUUGAGCACUCAGUUAACAAAUCGAGUGUGUUUUUGCAGGGUGAGCAUGUGAUUCUGUUUUACUAUUGAAAUUAGAGUCUCUUUUGCAGCACUUCCUGAGCUUUCCUUUUCUUUCUUUUCUUUGUUGGGCUAAUGGCAUAUGUGGGCACCACUAUGAUUUUAUGAAUAGCAGCACAGAUAAUUAGGUUCGACACCUUUUGUAAACAUGAUUUCUGUUUAUAUUAUAUCAAAAUUGAUAUCCAUCAGAGAAUUAUUUAUUUACAUUGUUUUGGCUUAUUAGUAUCAUCAAG